GCUGGGCGUGGUGGUGCAUGCCUGUAAUCCCCGCUACUUGGGAGGCUGAGGUGGGAGAAUCGCUUGAACCUGGGAGGUGGAGGUUGCAGUGAGCUGAGAUCGCACCACUGCACCCCAGCCUGGGUGACAGAGUGAGACUCCAUCUCAA
Molecule: non-coding RNA, 148 nt
Filed under: Gorilla gorilla gorilla (western lowland gorilla)
Lineage: Eukaryota; Metazoa; Chordata; Mammalia; Primates; Hominidae
Source: Rfam by way of RNAcentral